This 475-nucleotide unclassified non-coding RNA is filed under the name Hevea brasiliensis (rubber tree). The record is from RNAcentral. Lineage: Eukaryota; Viridiplantae; Streptophyta; Magnoliopsida; Malpighiales; Euphorbiaceae.
GUCAUCCUCAAGCCCCCUCUCUUACCUAUCUUCAUAUGUGUAAUGGCAGUUGCUCUUUUACUGUCAAGGCGAACUGAUCGUGUUUGAACUUUGUUGAUGUUCAUAAAAUAUACCAAGGACUGACCAAAAUCGUCAUCACCAAGUUUCCCCAUGAAGGCAACUUUACCUCCCAAACUCGCAAGAGCCACAGCAACAUUACUUGAACAUCCCCCUGGAGCCCUGAUAAACUUUUCAGGAUCCCACAUUACAUCCUUCAUUCUUUCAUGCCAUUCAUGGUCUACAAGUCUAUUGGAUGGCCUCCCUGAAGGAACGAAUGCAUGCUGUGCUGCACCAAAGCAACAUACAAGGGGUGGCCAUCCAUACGUGAAGCUAAUAUCCUCUCCAACAUCUAUAUCGAAGUCCAGUUCUUCCUCAUUAUCGGCAUCAACAUUUGCAACAUGUAGCUCUUCUUCAAUAUCACUAAGUUCUGACUGGC